This 1018-nucleotide long non-coding RNA is filed under the name Mytilus galloprovincialis (Mediterranean mussel). The record is from RNAcentral. Lineage: Eukaryota; Metazoa; Mollusca; Bivalvia; Mytilida; Mytilidae.
UGUUUUUGUAAUGUACCUUGUACGACCUUUUGUUUGAUAUUCGACAGGCAUACCUUCUGAAACUUUUCGCUUUUUACAUUAAAUGACCUCAUCCGCCUACAUUUUUGAGAUCAGAAGUAUGAUAUAUGUAACAAAGACUUAAUGAUCCUUCAUUUAAUAUGCAACAACAAAGAAAUAUAGAUUUCUACACUUAAUAACCCCAUCCAUCUAAUUUUUGGAGGUCAGGAAUUCGAUAUUUCAAAUGUACACAUCAUGACCUUUCAUUUCAUAUACAACAACCUUAUCUUAAAAGAAAUUUAUUUUUUUGCCCUUAAUGACCCCACUCAACCAAUUUUUUGGGGAUGUCAAUUUGAAAUUUGAAAUGUAAGCUUUAUGUUCUUUCAUUUGAUAUGCGACAACCUUACCAUCUGAGAAAUUUGAAUUUUUGCACUAAAUGACCCCACCCUUCCCCCUGGGAUGAAAAAGGGGUAAAACAUUUUUAAUUAAGUAGAGUUUAUUAAGACCUUCAAUUUGAUAUAUCAGAUGACCCCAUUUGUCAAUGUGCCAAUAAUGAUGCAAUAUCAACUAUAUAAAUAGAAGUUAUGAAACUUACAAAGUCAAUGCAAAACUUGAAAAUUUCAAAUUGAUUUUUUGGUGUUUUUUUCCAUGAAAUGUUUUUGGUAUUUGUCAAACUUAUAACUAUUUUAACCUCUUCAAUUUCUAAAACAUUUUAAGUGGUAAGCUGUUGUUGAAUCAGAAAUACAUGCCCCUGCUCGCAAAACUUCAAACUGCAUUAUCUCUAAAACGACAAUACCGGUAGAUAUCUCAAAUCUGUUAAAUGAUAAAUGAUCUGCAGUUGAAGCACAUCAUUGUAGAAAAAAAAUAGGGACAAUUCCAAAGUUUAUCUUUGUACUCUCAAAUGGAUGAUGAAAUCUUACGCAGCCUCAUAUGGUAAUACAUCAUGAUGAGAUCUACCUAUUGUCCAGAUGAAGGUCAUGAUAUCUUUAUGAGGGGGGCCAUGUCAAAAAAAUGAUGGAAG